CACGUUGUCACAUAGACGUUUCCUCUGAAAAAUAAAAGCAGAACUGCCCUAAGAUGCAGCGAUCCCCCGGUUGGGUAUUUAUCCCCCCACAUUGAAACCAGGAUCUCAGAGCGGUAGUAGCACUCCUGAGUUUUACUUCUCUCAAAGUCUGCGACCCGGCUCCCGACAGCAGGUGGGUCCCUGUUGCUUUUAAACCCGACAAAUCACACGCACUCUCUCUCAUCCACCCCAGGCAGAUUCUUAGGUACCUCACCCCUCGCCCAAACUGCUUUCCAGGGACAGUAGAAUUUUGCUUCUUGCCUGGGAGUCGCAGGCCAGGCCAUGACAAGCCCUAGGGGGAAGGCGCCCAGCGACCCGCGGAAGGUCCAGGCACGCCGCCUGCCCGCGGGGAAAUCGAACCCUGGUUCGGCGGCCGCGCUCCCCGGAGCAGCGUGACGCGGGGCGCCGGGCCGAGGCGAGACUCCCGCGCCUGGCUUCCCUGGGCGGCCGCCAGUUCUGCUCGGAAGGCAGGGGCGGGGCGCGGCCUUUUUCGUCCUGGGAGGAGGUGGCCGCGGCCCCGGAGGUCACUGGGCCGCCUGGCUGGCUGCUGUCACUUGUGCCCGGUGCCUUGCUCAGCUCGACUCUCCCCUUUCCCAAGCGCACCCACACUCGGAGUGAGCCCGGCCCUCCAGGGCAACUGCCAGCAAGCAAGCUGCUCCAUCCCCACAUCAGAGAGACCACAUGGGCCCCGGGACCAUCUGCCCUUGGAGGGGCCCCCUGCCUUGCCAGGUGUGGACCUGGAUCGAGCCUGUGGUGGCCUCCACCCAGGUGGCUACCUCUCUCUACGACGCGGGGCUGCUCCUGGUGGUGAAGGCUUCCUUCGGAGUGGAGGCCUUCUCCAACCACAGCGCCAGCCUGUCGCCCCGGGGGGCUCAGGAGGAUCAACAGCAGAAAGCCAUCUCCAACUUCUACAUCAUCUACAACCUCGUGAUGGGCCUGACACCCCUGCUCUCAGCCUAUGGGCUGGGCUGGCUCAGCGACCGCUACCACCGCAAGAUCUCCAUCUGCGUGCCACUGCUCGGCUUCCUGCUCUGUCGCCUGGGGCUGCUGCUGAAGGUUCUGCUGGACUGGCCCGUGGAGGUGCUAUACGGGGCGGCAGCGCUAAAUGGACUGUGCGGCGGCUUCUCGGCCUUCUGGUCAGGGGUCAUGGCCCUGGGCUCCCUCGGCUCCUCCGAGGGCCGCCGCUCCCUGCGCCUGAUCCUGAUUGACCUGAUCCUGGGCUUGGCGGGAUUCUGCGGGAGCAUGGCCUCGGGGCAUCUCUUCAAGCAGAUGACCGGGCACUCCAGGCAGGGCCUGGUGCUGACUACCUGCAGCGUGAGCUGUGCCGCUUGCGCCCUUUUCUACAGCCUCUUGGUGCUGAAGGUCCCUGAGUCCACGGCCAAGGCUAGCAAGGCUGUGGAUAUGGUGUCUGGCACGACCGGCUCUUAUCGCACACUGGAUCCUGAUCAGCCAGACAAGGAGAGUGUCGUGGAGCACCCUCCACCUCCUGGAAAAGCAAAGCCCAAAAAAACCAUCAUUGCCCUGCUCUUUGUGGGAGCCGUCGUGUAUGACCUGGCAGUGGUGGGCACGGUGGACGUGAUGCCCCUUUUUGUGCUGAGGGAGCCUCUGAGUUGGAACCAAGUGCAGGUGGGCUAUGGUAUGGCUGCAGGGUACACCAUCUUCAUCACCAGCUUCCUGGGCGUCCUGGUCUUCUCCCGCUGCUUCCGGGACACCACCAUGAUCAUGAUUGGGAUGGUCUCCUUUGGGUCGGGAGCCCUCCUCUUGGCUUUUGUGAAAGAGACAUACAUGUUCUACAUUGCUCGGGCCGUCAUGCUGUUCGCGCUCAUCCCCAUCACAACCAUCCGAUCAGCAAUGUCCAAACUCAUCAAGGACUCCUCUUACGGAAAAGUGUUCGUCAUCCUGCAGCUGUCCCUGGCUCUGACCGGAGUGGUGACCUCCACCAUAUACAACGAGCUUUAUCAGCUCACCAUGGAGAAGUUCGUCGGCACCUGCUUUGCUCUCUCCUCCUUCCUCUCCUUCCUGGCCAUCAUCCCAAUUGGGGAGAUGCUGAGGAAAUAACUGACUGGCUCUGCCCAUCUGCAACCCACUGACCACCCAGCCCACAUGGGCUCAGCUGCUGCCUCGUGCUUCGCAGAGAAAACAGACGCCACCUUAGGAGAACGGCUCAUUUUCUCAUCGUGGCCGCCAAGCAAGCCUCAUGGUUGCAGUACGGAGACAGCGCAGAGAGAUGAAGGUGCUGAUCUGCGAGAACCGAAAACCUCAGCAGUGGCUGGGCCCCUCUGGAGACAAGGGAAGGGACCAGGAACUGGUGACCAAAGUAACCCAUUGCCCAAGAAACCCAAGUUCCAGCUGGAGUUGGCCUCAGGUCCCUGGUGGGUGGGGAAAAGCACUUUCCUGGUGAUGGAGGAACUUUCUCAGCUUUCAGACGUCCCUAGUAGGCAGAGGUUAGGCUCUGCAGACAGUAGAGCAUCAGCUUUUGAAGGGUGACGUGCAGGCUGCACACACAGCCCUUCCAGACGCAGAAGCCCCUUUUCUUCCAGGAAUGGUCUCCCGGGGCUCCAGCAUAUGGCUAACUGGUCACCUGGGCGCUAUGCUAGGAGUCCAGCGUGAGAACUCAAUGGCACACAUCUUCAGCAGUUGAGGGAAUGUGGAAGGGCUGUUUUGUGAGAACUGCCAACAAUGAACCUCAGUCAGUAUCUUUAAAAUAUAACCUUGAAAAAAAAGUUAGCUUUCUUCCCUGAGGCCUUGUUAGCUGUGAACAGCUCAGGAGAGGUCUGGUGCACAGGCACUUGGCUUCAGGGUAGUUUUGUUACUGUUUGAGAAGCAACUAUCAAAAGGCUCUCUUCAAUGGGAUAUGAGACUGGAUACUUUGUCAACAAUACUUCGAAGAGGGGCAUCAGGGGAGGAGGGGUGCUGACAGCCAUUUUUAUUUUGAGGUACUUAUUUUCAUAGCCUAUUUUACUUACAUCUAUAAAAGCAGACUCACCUAAUUAAAAUCGACAUCCAGGGCA
This is a non-coding RNA of Vicugna pacos (alpaca), 3050 nucleotides long. Lineage: Eukaryota; Metazoa; Chordata; Mammalia; Artiodactyla; Camelidae. The record is from RefSeq and is a predicted model, not a curated record.